Molecule: transfer RNA, 87 nt
Filed under: candidate division TM6 bacterium RIFCSPHIGHO2_12_FULL_32_22
Lineage: Bacteria
Description: tRNA-Leu
Rfam family: tRNA
About the family: Transfer RNA (tRNA) molecules are approximately 80 nucleotides in length.
Source: RNAcentral
GCCGGGAUGGCGAAAUUGGCAGACGCACGGGACUCAAAAUCCCGCGGUAGCGAUACCGUGCCGGUUCAAGUCCGGCUCCCGGCACCA